This 83-nucleotide transfer RNA is filed under the name Heliobacterium mobile. Its description in RNAcentral is "Heliobacillus mobilis tRNA-Leu". It matches the Rfam family "tRNA". From Rfam's summary of the family: Transfer RNA (tRNA) molecules are approximately 80 nucleotides in length. Their secondary structure includes four short double-helical elements and three loops (D, anti-codon, and T loops). The record is from RNAcentral. Lineage: Bacteria; Bacillati; Bacillota; Clostridia; Eubacteriales; Heliobacteriaceae.
GCGGUUGUGGCGGAAUUGGCAGACGCACUGGAUUUAGGUUCCAGCGGGAAACCGUGGAGGUUCAAGUCCUCUCGACCGCACCA